UAAGGUAGCCAAAUGCCUCG
Molecule: small nuclear RNA, 20 nt
Filed under: Arabidopsis thaliana (thale cress)
Lineage: Eukaryota; Viridiplantae; Streptophyta; Magnoliopsida; Brassicales; Brassicaceae
Description: snRNA_10593
Source: RNAcentral